CAUACGGGUUGAAGCAUGACCGUAAGGACAUGUGGACAGUAUGGGAGUGAGAAUGUUGGCAUGAGUAGCGAGAUGUGGGUGAGAAUCCCACAGGCCGUAAACCCAAGGUUUCCAGGGGAAGGUUCGUCCGCCCUGGGUUAGUCGGGACCUAAGCUGAGGCCGAAAGGCGUAGGUGAUGGACAACAGGUUGAUAUUCCUGUACUACCGAUAACCGUUUGAGAGAAGGGAUGACACAGUAGGAUAAGCUAAGCACACUGUUGGUUAUGUGUGCCCAAG
RNAcentral lists this ribosomal RNA (276 nucleotides) under Clostridioides difficile. RNAcentral describes it as "partial 23S ribosomal RNA". It matches the Rfam family "Bacterial large subunit ribosomal RNA", at positions 1242 to 1516 of the family's 2925-position model. Lineage: Bacteria; Bacillati; Bacillota; Clostridia; Peptostreptococcales; Peptostreptococcaceae. The record is from RNAcentral.